Molecule: long non-coding RNA, 223 nt
Filed under: Capsicum annuum
Lineage: Eukaryota; Viridiplantae; Streptophyta; Magnoliopsida; Solanales; Solanaceae
Description: long non-coding RNA (CANN_LNC001425)
Source: RNAcentral
CGCUGCUUGCAUCAUACACAACCUUUAGGGAUACGAUUUUAUAUAGUCGUGAUACCCUGACCAUAGAUGAAGUCUAUGAUGCGUUGUUCUCUAAGAAGAAGAUGAAGAAUCUUGUGAAUGGGUCGGAGACUUAAGGAGAUGGUCUCAUUGUUCGAGAAGGAAGAACUCAUGAGAGGAACUCUGGGGGUGAUGAUAGAAACAGAUCGAAAUCCAGAAACAAAAA